RNAcentral lists this unclassified non-coding RNA (210 nucleotides) under Hevea brasiliensis (rubber tree). Lineage: Eukaryota; Viridiplantae; Streptophyta; Magnoliopsida; Malpighiales; Euphorbiaceae. The record is from RNAcentral.
GGAUCUAUGAUAGAUUUGUCCGGGUUAGUUUCUCUUUUAAAUCAUAAAUGUAAUUUGCCUAAUGUUAUGAAUGUUAUCGAUGAGCGAAAAUAAAUUGUGAGUUUCUUGAUCUUAUGGACUGUUCUUGUUGAUUUUUCAAAAAAUUUCGAAGCUUGUGUAUAUCAUAUGCUAGUUAGUUUUGUCUCUCAAUAAGUCUUAAAUGAAUUUUGG